RNAcentral lists this ribosomal RNA (921 nucleotides) under Lelliottia amnigena. Its description in RNAcentral is "bacterial SSU rRNA". It matches the Rfam family "Bacterial small subunit ribosomal RNA", at positions 63 to 984 of the family's 1533-position model. Lineage: Bacteria; Pseudomonadati; Pseudomonadota; Gammaproteobacteria; Enterobacterales; Enterobacteriaceae. The record is from RNAcentral.
CGAGCGGUAGCACAGGAGAGCUUGCUCUCCGGGUGACGAGCGGCGGACGGGUGAGUAAUGUCUGGGAAACUGCCUGAUGGAGGGGGAUAACUACUGGAAACGGUAGCUAAUACCGCAUAACGUCGCAAGACCAAAGAGGGGGACCUUCGGGCCUCUUGCCAUCAGAUGUGCCCAGAUGGGAUUAUCUAGUAGGUGGGGUAAUGGCUCACCUAGGCGACGAUCCCUAGGUGGUCUGAGAGGAUGACCAGCCACACUGGAACUGAGACACGGCCCAGACUCCUACGGGAGGCAGCAGUGGGGAAUAUUGCACAAUGGGCGCAAGCCUGAUGCACCCAUGCCGCGUGUAUGAAAAAGGCCUUCGGGUUGUAAAGUACUUUCAGCGAGGAGGAAGGCAUUAAGGUUAAUAACCUUAGAGAUUGACGUUACUCGCAGAAGAAGCACCGGCUAACUCCGUGCCAGCAGCCGCGGUAAUACGGAGGGUGCAAGCGUUAAUCGGAAUUACUGGGCGUAAAGCGCACGCAGGCGGUCUGUCAAGUCGGAUGUGAAAUCCCCGGUCUCAACCUGGGAACUGCAUUCGAAACUGGCAGGCUAGAGUCUUGUAGAGGGGGGUAGAAUUCCAGGUGUAGCGGAGAAAUGCGUAGAGAUCUGGAGGAAUACCGGUGGCGAAGGCGCCCCCCUGGACAGAGACUGACGCUCAGGUGCGAAAGCGUGGAGAGCAAACAGGAUUAUAUACUCUGGUAGCCACGCCGUAAACGAUGUCGACUUGGAGGGUGUUCUCUUGAAGAGUGGCUCCGGAGCUAACGCGUUAACUCCACCGCCUGGAGAGUACGGCGCAAGGAUAAACUCAAAUGAAUUGACGGGGCCCGCACAAGCGGUGGGCAUGUGGUUUAUUCGUGCACGCGAAAACCUUACUACUCUUGA